CGUACACUCCUGCGGGAGGCAGCAGUGGGGAAUAUUGGACAAUGGGCGCAAGCCUGAUCCAGCCAUGCCGCGUGAGUGAUGAAGGCCCUAGGGUUGUAAAGCUCUUUCACCGGUGAAGAUAAUGACGGUAACCGGAGAAGAAGCCCCGGCUAACUUCGUGCCAGCAGCCGCGGUAAUACGAAGGGGGCUAGCGUUGUUCGGAUUUACUGGGCGUAAAGCGCACGUAGGCGGACUAUUAAGUCAGGGGUGAAAUCCCGGGGCUCAACCCCGGAACUGCCUUUGAUACUGGUAGUCUUGAGUUCGAGAGAGGUGAGUGGAAUUCCGAGUGUAGAGGUGAAAUUCGUAGAUAUUCGGAGGAACACCAGUGGCGAAGGCGGCUCACUGACUCGAUACUGACGCUGAGGUGCGAAAGCGUGGGGAGCAAACAGGAUUAGAAACCCGAGUAGUCCC
This 450-nucleotide ribosomal RNA is filed under the name uncultured organism. RNAcentral's name for it is "partial 16S ribosomal RNA". It matches the Rfam family "Bacterial small subunit ribosomal RNA", at positions 330 to 797 of the family's 1533-position model. The record is from RNAcentral.